CCUACGGGGGGCUGCAGUGGGGGAUAUUGCACAAUGGGGGAAACCCUGAUGCAGCGACGCCGCGUGAGUGAAGAAGUAUUUCGGUAUGUAAAGCUCUAUCAGCAGGGAAGUAAAUGACAGUACCUGACCAAGAAGCUCCGGCUAACUACGUGCCAGCAGCCGCGGUAAUACGUAGGGGGCCAGCGUUAUCCGGAUUUACUGGGUGUAAAGGGAGCGUAGACGGUUAUGUAAGUCUGGAGUGAAAGCCCGGGGCCCAACCCCGGGACUGCUUUGGAAACUGUGUAACUGGAGUGCAGGAGGGGCAGGCGGAAUUCCUGGUGUAGCGGUGAAAUGCGUAGAUAUCAGGAGGAACACCGGCGGCGAAGGCGGCCUGCUGGACUGAAACUGACGUUGAGGCUCGAAAGCGUGGGGAGCAAACAGGAUUAGAUACCCUAGUAGUC
This 440-nucleotide ribosomal RNA is filed under the name uncultured bacterium. Its description in RNAcentral is "partial 16S ribosomal RNA". It matches the Rfam family "Bacterial small subunit ribosomal RNA", at positions 338 to 795 of the family's 1533-position model. The record is from RNAcentral.